This is a long non-coding RNA of Pristis pectinata (smalltooth sawfish), 297 nucleotides long. RefSeq lists it as uncharacterized. The record is from RefSeq and is a predicted model, not a curated record. The transcript is spliced from 3 exons. NCBI's taxonomy places the organism in Eukaryota, Metazoa, Chordata, Chondrichthyes, Rhinopristiformes, Pristidae.
AGAACCACAUUGGGUCGGAAGCUGGAGUCGGUGGAGGGGGCGGCCCCGGCCUCAGGCCGCACGGCAGCGGGGAGCUUGCAGAGCCUACACUGCGCUGCCGCCGCCUGCUCCAGGCAGCGCCGGCAGAAGGAUCUGGGCAUUGCAGGCAAGGCCAGGAUUUAUUUCCCACCCAUGGCUGCUCUUGAGAAGAUAUUGAAAUAAGCCUUUCAAAUGGAUCCCUUACAAUGAAGAAUUUGAAGUAUGUAUUCAAUCUGAAAGAAACAACACCAAAAAGAGUUAUAAUUCUUCCAGUGUUCC